Molecule: ribosomal RNA, 446 nt
Filed under: uncultured Leptolinea sp.
Lineage: Bacteria; Bacillati; Chloroflexota; Anaerolineae; Anaerolineales; Anaerolineaceae
Description: bacterial SSU rRNA
Rfam family: Bacterial small subunit ribosomal RNA
Source: RNAcentral
GCACAAGCAGCGGAGCGUGUGGUUUAAUUCGAUGCUACACGAAGAACCUUACCAGGGUUUGACAUGCAAGUGGUAGGAAACCGAAAGGCGACCGACCUUCGGGGAGCUUGCACAGGUGCUGCAUGGCUGUCGUCAGCUCGUGUCGUGAGAUGUUCGGUUAAGUCCGCUAACGAGCGCAACCCUCGCUGUGUGUUACAAGUGUCACACGGGUACUGCCGGUCUUAAGCCGGAGGAAGGUGGGGAUGACGUCAAGUCAGCAUGGCCUUUAUGUCCUGGGCUACACACACGCUACAAUGGCCAACACAAUAGGUUGCUAAGCCGCGAGGUGGAGCCAAUCCUCAAAGUUGGUCUCAGUUCAGAUUGCAGGCUGCAACCCGCCUGCAUGAAGAUGGAGUUGCUAGUAACCGCAGGUCAGCUAUACUGCGGUGAAUACGUUCCCGGGGCUU